This 253-nucleotide ribosomal RNA is filed under the name uncultured bacterium. RNAcentral's name for it is "partial 16S ribosomal RNA". It matches the Rfam family "Bacterial small subunit ribosomal RNA", at positions 524 to 776 of the family's 1533-position model. The record is from RNAcentral.
UACGUAGGGGGCAAGCGUUAUCCGGAUUUACUGGGUGUAUAGGGAGCGUAGGCGGUGAUGCAAGUCAGAAGUGAAAGCCCGCAGCUCAACUGCGGGACUGCUUUUGAAACUGUAUGACUAGAUUGCAGGAGAGGUAAGUGGAAUUCCUAGUGUAGCGGUGAAAUGCGUAGAUAUUAGGAGGAACACCAGUGGCGAAGGCGGCUUACUGGACUGUAAAUGACGCUGAGGCUCGAAAGCGUGGGGAGCAAACAGG